RNAcentral lists this ribosomal RNA (1044 nucleotides) under Triticum aestivum (bread wheat). RNAcentral's name for it is "partial small subunit ribosomal RNA". Lineage: Eukaryota; Viridiplantae; Streptophyta; Magnoliopsida; Poales; Poaceae. The record is from RNAcentral.
AUGACUAGGCUGCUAAAUCGAUCUUUCUCUAUCUGUAACCUUCAACCUUACUUGGAUAAAGGGGCUGCUACGUUAGGAGCUUGGAAAGGAAGGCUUUUGCAACAAACCGGGAGGCUGGCUCUCAUCAAUUCGGUGGUCACUAGCACGGUGACCUUCUUUCUGACGAUCUUUGCGCCUUACAAGUGGUUCAUUAAUAAAUUUGACGAACUAAGAAGAAACUUUCUGUGGAAUGCCGACGAGGAAGCUCAUGGGGCCAAAUGUUUGGUGAAUUGGAAGCGAAUCUGCGCACCCAAAGCAGUUGGAGGACUAGGCAUCAAAAACCUUUCCGCCUUCAGCACGGCCCUGCGGCUGCGCUGGCCCUGGUUUGAGUGGGAUGAUAUGGACAGACCGUGGAAGGGGACUCCUACACCGUGUGACGCUGCUGAUCAACAACUCUUUCAGUCAUGCACAAAUAUUAAUGUUGGAAAUGGAGCGAGAACCACUUUCUGGACUGACCGUUGGCUGGAUGGAGUGGCACCUAUGGAUUUGGCACCUGGCCUCUAUAACAUUGCGAAACACAAGAUGAUUUCUGUGGCUGAUGCUAUUCGCGAGGGUGGAUGGAUGAAGGGGCUGCAGCGCAUGGCCUCGGCUGAUCUGCUGCAGGCAUUUGUUUCUCUUUGGCAUAAAGUUCAGCAAUUCAGCUUAAAUGGAGAGGAGGAUAAGAUCACUUGGAACAUCUCGGCCAAUGGGAACUACUCGGCCAAGUCUGCAUAUGAGCAGCAAUUCAUUGCGCGUAUUCCAGUGCCGCGCUUAUUAAGAGUGUGGAAGGUGAAGGCUGAAUCUAAGGUCCAAUUCUCCUCUUCUAUCAACACCUGGUGGGAUAAGACAUUCAAACUAAAGAAAAAAGGAGUUUUGCUGGACGAGUGUACGGGGGCUGUGUACGUAGCUUGGAACCUAUGGAACGAGCGCAACAGGCGGAUCUUUCAGAAUCAACGGCGCUCUGCCGCGGGAGUAUGUUCUUUGAUUAGGGAUGAAUUAGGCCUCCUGAAGGAGGCAUGGGAGUAG